UACGUAGGUGGCAAGCGUUGUCCGGAUUUACUGGGCGUAAAGGGCGUGCAGGCGGUUCGUUAAGUUCAGGGUGAAAGCCCCCGGCUCAACUGGGGGAGGUCCUUGGAUACUGGCGGACUAGAGGGAGGUAGAGGAGAGUGGAAUUCCCGGUGUAGUGGUGAUAUGCGUAGAUAUCGGGAGGAACACCAGUGGCGAAGGCGGCUCUCUGGGCCUUUCCUGACGCUGAGACGCGAAAGCGUGGGGAGCGAACCGG
This 253-nucleotide ribosomal RNA is filed under the name uncultured bacterium. RNAcentral's name for it is "partial 16S ribosomal RNA". It matches the Rfam family "Bacterial small subunit ribosomal RNA", at positions 524 to 776 of the family's 1533-position model. The record is from RNAcentral.